Molecule: transfer RNA, 70 nt
Filed under: Ctenoblepharys adspersa
Lineage: Eukaryota; Metazoa; Chordata; Lepidosauria; Squamata
Description: tRNA-Gln
Source: RNAcentral
UUAGAAAAAUAGGACUUGAACCUACACAUAAAGACUCAAAAUCUUUAGCACUUCAUUAUGCUAUUUUCUA